UCCCUGGUCCAGUGGUUAGGACUCUGUGCUUCCACUGCAGGGGGCACAGGUUCAAUCCCUGGUCAGGGAA
Molecule: transfer RNA, 70 nt
Filed under: Capra hircus (goat)
Lineage: Eukaryota; Metazoa; Chordata; Mammalia; Artiodactyla; Bovidae
Also listed under: 1 other name
Rfam family: tRNA
About the family: Transfer RNA (tRNA) molecules are approximately 80 nucleotides in length. Their secondary structure includes four short double-helical elements and three loops (D, anti-codon, and T loops).
Source: Rfam by way of RNAcentral